AUUACUUCUCGGCCUUUUGGCUAAGAUCAAGUGUAGUAUCCUCAUGUGUCAAUUGGAAUGGGCCAUGCAAUUCUCAGAUUAAGCAUUGUUUCUGAGCUGUCUGUGAGAGUAUGCUUUUUAAGCACAUUACUUAUACAAACUGUGGGUUUCAUUUUGGCAAAUUCAUAUAUGCACAUAACAAACU
This is a small nuclear RNA of Heterocephalus glaber (naked mole-rat), 184 nucleotides long. Its record names the gene U2. It matches the Rfam family "U2 spliceosomal RNA". Rfam says of the family: U2 is a small nuclear RNA (snRNA) component of the spliceosome (involved in pre-mRNA splicing). The record is from Ensembl. NCBI's taxonomy places the organism in Eukaryota, Metazoa, Chordata, Mammalia, Rodentia, Bathyergidae.